AUACGUAGGGGGCGAGCGUUGUCCGGAAUGAUUGGGCGUAAAGGGCGCGUAGGCGGCGCGGUAAGUCUGGAGUGAAAGUCCUGCUUUCAAGGUGGGAAUUGCUUUGGAUACUGACGCGCUUGAGUGCAGGAGAGGUUAUCGGAAUUCCCGGUGUAGCGGUGAAAUGCGUAGAGAUCGGGAGGAACACCAGUGGCGAAGGCGGGUAACUGGACUGCAACUGACGCUGAGGCGCGAAAGUGUGGGGAGCAAACAGGAUUAGAUACCCUGGUAGUCCACACUGUAAACGAUGAAUGCUAGGUGUAAGAGGUAUCGACCCCUUUUGUGCCGGAGUCAACACAAUAAGCAUUCCGCCUGGGGAGUACGGCCGCAAGGUUGAAACUCAAAGGAAUUGACGGGG
This 397-nucleotide ribosomal RNA is filed under the name uncultured bacterium. Its description in RNAcentral is "partial 16S ribosomal RNA". It matches the Rfam family "Bacterial small subunit ribosomal RNA", at positions 523 to 918 of the family's 1533-position model. The record is from RNAcentral.